GCCGGAGUGGCGGAAUGGAAGACGCGCUACGUUCAGGGCGUAGUGUCCGCAAGGGCGUGGGAGUUCAACUCUCCCCUCCGGCACCA
This 86-nucleotide transfer RNA is filed under the name Dehalococcoidia bacterium. Its description in RNAcentral is "tRNA-Leu". It matches the Rfam family "tRNA". Rfam says of the family: Transfer RNA (tRNA) molecules are approximately 80 nucleotides in length. Their secondary structure includes four short double-helical elements and three loops (D, anti-codon, and T loops). Further hydrogen bonds mediate the characteristic L-shaped molecular structure. tRNAs have two regions of fundamental functional importance: the anti-codon, which is responsible for specific mRNA codon recognition, and the 3' end, to which the tRNAs corresponding amino acid is attached (by aminoacyl-tRNA synthetases). tRNAs cope with the degeneracy of the genetic code in two manners: having more than one tRNA (with a specific anti-codon) for a particular amino acid; and 'wobble' base-pairing, i.e. permitting non-standard base-pairing at the 3rd anti-codon position. The record is from RNAcentral. Lineage: Bacteria; Bacillati; Chloroflexota; Dehalococcoidia.